Molecule: long non-coding RNA, 1834 nt
Organism: Mauremys reevesii (Reeves's turtle)
Lineage: Eukaryota; Metazoa; Chordata; Testudines; Geoemydidae
Exons: 4
Source: RefSeq, a predicted model, not a curated record
CCUUUGGAUUUGUUAGUUCUCAGCAUUGACAAAACAGCUGUGUCACUCCAGGCUGGUGCAUGGAAGCAGGCCAUUGUCCUGUAAUUUCCCCCCAAGAGCUUCAGAGAUUACUUAUCUAGAGCUACUGUCUUGCCUUUCUGCUUAUUUGCCCCACAGCCUGUAAAGCUAGAUCAAUACUGUGAUGGGCUGGCCACCCCACACAAGGCCCGAAGGCGUGAAUUAGGCCAAUUAACCUUAGGUUGCACCUGGAGGAAACCCAGGGUGUGCUAGGACCUAACUGCUGAUGAAGUCUGGCUGGGGGAGAAGCUAGGCAGGAUCUGUAAAGAGAGGAGGCUGGUAGGCUGCAGGGAGGAAAACCUGCAGUCAUACUUCUAAGGGGGAAGAACAGGCAGCUGUAAGGGCAGGGUAGGAAGCAGUCCAGGGAAGGGGCAGUAAGAGUUAGGAGAAUAAAAGCCCAGAGAUGCUUGGCAGAGGGUUCCUGGGCUGGAACCCAGGGUAGAGGGUGGGCUGGAUUCCCCUACCACUUGCUGCUGGAGUGACACACUAGAGAGAGCCCAUUUGGGGGUGGCUGGAAGCAGACUUUGAUGAUACCUGGAAGGGAGGAGAACCUUAAUGUGACUUAGCCAGAGGGUUAAGCCAUGAAGAGGAAAGGGUUGCAGGUCCUGAAAUGAAGGCCACGGCGUAAGUGAGUAGACUGAUGGACUGAGUCACUUCAGGGAGGGGCCUCAGACCAGAUGGCAGAGCUAAUUGCCUGGAUGAGCCACAAGGAAGUGCUGCUGAAUGGUACUACUUGUGACCACUUAAACGUCUGCAUUUAGUGGAACAUGUAAGAAACCGUCUCUUUUGGAAGUAGUUUAGAUGAAAAACCAGCCAGUAGAAGAUGCCCCUUCUUCAAGCCAGGAUCACUCCCCAAGGGCUGGACUCAAGGCUGCAAUACCACUAAAUGCAAAAAGGUGAACUGCUGUUUAGAGGAGACUGUAAUCAGGACCCUUUGGGGAUGGACACAGAUAUAAAAGUGAAUACUUCAGAACUAUUCAGCCCAUCGCGAACAAAUACUGCUUUCUUCCAGAGUAAUCCGGUGUAAAGGCAAGAGUUCAGUUUCCUUUAUGCACCAGCUGCAGUGAAACUGAUCUAAGCUGACUUGUGUCUAUUUAGCCAUCCUGAGCCUAGGAGGCAGUGGUUCCAGCUUACAGGUGUGAAUUCCCACUCAGUUCCCUUUAAAAGGGGGGCUUUCACACUGGGGCAGGCUUGAAAAGAAAGCAUUUAAACAAGAGGGCAAUUUACUUUGCCUCCCGUGAUCUGUCUGUCCCUUGCUGUUCCUUCCGCGUCCUCAACAUAUCUGUUGUUUGAAUAAGUUCCUCUCUGCAUCUUUCAGUCCUUCACCUGCCUCUUUCCUUCUCCAGAGGAGUCAUAAAACUACAUUUUAUGGGGCUAUAUUUCCAAAAUGUAGAAGCCAAGUUCUUCAAGCAAAAAAACGACCAUGUAAUAAAUCCACCCCCACCUCCCAUCCCAAUGGACAUGCACAGACUGGACCAAUGUGCACAAAGAUGGCUAGUUAGAGCAGUAUCCUAAGGAUGGAAGUUAGGGCAAAGGAUCAGCUUCGGGCAUCCAGGUGCAAAAGGAAAAACACUUGUUCACAACCAAAUCCUAUUGAGAAUUGGGAUAAUAAAGGAAAAAUACGCAAAGCACAAGAAAGGUCUAGCUGAUUAGGAAAUUAUGGUGUUUUUUUUUUUUUCCCCGUGAAAGAUUUUUUGAGGAAACUGGGGGAAGGGACAUCCUUUUGGGUGAAAUUGUUUGGGGUUUUGUAAAAACAAACCCAUUUUCAGUGGCAAUG